GACGAACGCUGGCGGCGUGCUUAACACAUGCAAGUCGAACGGAAAGGCCCUGCUUUUGUGGGGUGCUCGAGUGGCGAACGGGUGAGUAACACGUGAGUAACCUGCCCUUGACUUUGGGAUAACUUCAGGAAACUGGGGCUAAUACCGGAUAGGAGCUCCUGCUGCAUGGUGGGGGUUGGAAAGUUUCGGCGGUUGGGGAUGGACUCGCGGCUUAUCAGCUUGUUGGUGGGGUAGUGGCUUACCAAGGCUUUGACGGGUAGCCGGCCUGAGAGGGUGACCGGCCACAUUUGGACUGGGAUACGGCCCAGACGCCUUCGGGAGGCAGCAGUGGGGAAUAUUGCACAAUGGGCGGAAGCCUGAUGGAGGAACGCCGGGUGGGGGAAGACGGCCUUCGGGUUGGAAACCGCUUUCGCCUGUGACGAAGCGUGAGUGACGGGAAUGGGGAAAGAAGCACCGGCUAACUACGU
This 467-nucleotide ribosomal RNA is filed under the name uncultured bacterium. RNAcentral's name for it is "partial 16S ribosomal RNA". It matches the Rfam family "Bacterial small subunit ribosomal RNA", at positions 28 to 506 of the family's 1533-position model. The record is from RNAcentral.